GAUGAACGCUGGCGGCGUGCCUAAUACAUGCAAGUCGAGCGAACGGACGAGAAGCUUGCUUCUCUGAUGUUAGCGGCGGACGGGUGAGUAACACGUGGAUAACCUACCUAUAAGACUGGGAUAACUUCGGGAAACCGGAGCUAAUACCGGAUAAUAUUAUGAACCGCAUGGUUCAAAAGUGAAAGACGGUCUUGCUGUCACUUAUAGAUGGAUCCGCGCUGCAUUAGCUAGUUGGUAAGGUAACGGCUUACCAAGGCAACGAUGCAUAGCCGACCUGAGAGGGUGAUCGGCCACACUGGAACUGAGACACGGUCCAGACUCCGACGGGAGGCAGCAGUAGGGAAUCUUCCGCAAUGGGCGGAAGCCUGACGGAGCAACGCCGCGUGAGUGAUGAAGGUCUUCGGAUCGUAAAACUCUGUUAUUAGGGAAGAACAUAUGUGUAAGUAACUGUGCACAUCUUGACGGUACCUAAUCAGAAAGCCACGGCUAACUACGU
Molecule: ribosomal RNA, 496 nt
Filed under: uncultured bacterium
Lineage: Bacteria
Description: partial 16S ribosomal RNA
Rfam family: Bacterial small subunit ribosomal RNA
Source: RNAcentral